Molecule: ribosomal RNA, 1536 nt
Filed under: human gut metagenome
Description: bacterial LSU rRNA
Rfam family: Bacterial large subunit ribosomal RNA
Source: RNAcentral
GAAUCAGCGGGGCCCAUCCCGUAAGGCUAAAUACUCCCGAGAGACCGAUAGCGAACCAGUACUGUGAAGGAAAGGUGAAAAGCACCUCGAACAGAGGAGUGAAAUAGUCCCUGAAACCGUCUGCCUACAAGCGGUCGGAGCAACGUAAGUUGUGACGGCGUGCCUUUUGCAUAAUGAACCUACGAGUUACUUUCUCCGGCAAGGUUAAGGGCUUCAGGCCCGGAGCCGAAGCGAAAGCGAGUCUUAAUAGGGCGUGAUAGUCGGAGUGAGUAGACGCGAAACCAAGUGAUCUACCCUUGGUCAGGAUGAAGGUUGGGUAACACCAACUGGAGGUCCGAAUGGGUAUACGUUGAAAAGUGUUCCAAUGAACUGAGGGUAGGGGUGAAAGGCUAAUCAAACUUGGAGAUAGCUCGUACUCCCCGAAAUGCAUUUAGGUGCAGCCUUUAUUUAGUAUAGCAUGAGGUAGAGCGACUGAUUGGAUGCGAGGGCUUCACCGCCUAUCAAGUCCAGAUAAACUCCGAAUGCGUGCUAUAUAUUGAUAAGGAGUGAGGGCGCGGGUGCUAAGGUCCGCGUCCGAGAGGAGAAGAAUCCAGACCAUCAGCUAAGGUCCCCAAAUAACAGUUAAGUUGAACUAACGAAGUCGGACUGCAGAGACAGCUAGGAUGUUGGCUUGGAAGCAGCCAUUCAUUUAAAGAGUGCGUAACAGCUCACUAGUCGAGGAGUCCGGCGUGGAUAAUACUCGGGCAUAAACUGUUUACCGAAGCUAUGGAUGUAGAAAUACAUGGUAGGGGAGCAUUCCAACGGCGUUGAAGGUGAAGGAUGACCUUUGCUGGAGCUUUUGGAAACGCAAAUGUAGGUAUAAGUAACGAUAAAGGAGGUGAGAAACCUCCUCGCCGAAAGACUAAGGUUUCCUGAUCAACGUUAAUCGGAUCAGGGUAAGUCGGGACCUAAGGUUAAGCCGAACGGCGAUACCGAUGGAAGAAUGGUUUAAUAUUCCCAUACUACUUUAUGGAGCGAUGUGGAGACGGAGAAGUGAAAGUCCUGCCAUCUGACGGAAUAGGUGGUUGAAGAGUGUAGAUGUAGAUUCCUGUAGGCAAAUCCGCAGGGAGAGUCGACCUUGACAGUAUGCCGCGUGCUUGCACAAGGCAAAAUGGACGUAAUCAGGCUCCCAAGAAAAUCCGCUAAGCAUAUUCAUAAAGUACCCGUACCGUAAACGGACACACGUAGUUGGGUUGAAAAUACUGAGGCGCUCGAGUGAUUCACGGUUAAGGAACUAGGCAAAUUGACCCUGUAACUUCGGGAUAAAGGGUCCCUACUGAGAGGUAGGGCGCAGAGAAUAGGUCCAGGCAACUGUUUAACAAAAACACAUGGCUGUGCGAAAUAGAAAUAUGAAGUAUACAGCCUGACACCUGCCCGGUGCUGGAAGGUUAAGAGGAGAGCUCAUCGCAAGAGAAGGCUUGAAUUGAAGCCCCAGUAAACGGCGGCCGUAACUAUAACGGUCCUAAGGUAGCGAAAUUCCUUGUCGGGUAAGUUCCG